UACUCCGUGGCGCAUUGUAGCGCCUCUGACUCCAUAUGAGAAGGUUGCGUGUUCAAAUCACGUCGGGGUCA
Molecule: transfer RNA, 71 nt
Filed under: Nematostella vectensis (starlet sea anemone)
Lineage: Eukaryota; Metazoa; Cnidaria; Anthozoa; Actiniaria; Edwardsiidae
Rfam family: tRNA
About the family: Transfer RNA (tRNA) molecules are approximately 80 nucleotides in length. Their secondary structure includes four short double-helical elements and three loops (D, anti-codon, and T loops). Further hydrogen bonds mediate the characteristic L-shaped molecular structure. tRNAs have two regions of fundamental functional importance: the anti-codon, which is responsible for specific mRNA codon recognition, and the 3' end, to which the tRNAs corresponding amino acid is attached (by aminoacyl-tRNA synthetases). tRNAs cope with the degeneracy of the genetic code in two manners: having more than one tRNA (with a specific anti-codon) for a particular amino acid; and 'wobble' base-pairing, i.e. permitting non-standard base-pairing at the 3rd anti-codon position.
Source: Rfam by way of RNAcentral